GCUAAACCAUUCGUAGAUGACCUGCUUCUGGGUUGGGGUUUUGUAUGCAGCAGAGCAGCACCCUUGCUGUGAUCUAUUGAAAGUCAGCCCUCAACACAAGGGUUU
This 105-nucleotide non-coding RNA is filed under the name Myotis davidii. Lineage: Eukaryota; Metazoa; Chordata; Mammalia; Chiroptera; Vespertilionidae. The record is from Rfam by way of RNAcentral.